UAGGGAAUCUUCGGCAAUGGACGGAAGUCUGACCGAGCAACGCCGCGUGAGUGAAGAAGGUUUUCGGAUCGUAAAGCUCUGUUGUUAGAGAAGAACGUUGGCAGGAGUGGAAAAUCUACCAAGUGACGGUAACUAACCAGAAAGGGACGGCUAACUACGUGCCAGCAGCCGCGGUAAUAUGUCGGUCCCGAACGUUGUCCGGAUUUAUUGGGCGUAAAGCGAGCGCAGGCGGUUCUUUAAGUCUGAAGUUAAAGGCAGUGGCUUAACCAUUGUGCGCUUUGAAAACUGGAGGACUUGAGUGCAGAAGGGGGGAGUGGAAUUCCAUGUGUAGCGGUGAAAUGCGUAGAUAUAUGGAGAAACACCGGUGGCGAAAGCGGCUCUCUGGUCUGUAACUGACGCGGGGGCUCGAAAGCGUGGGGAGCAAACAGU
This 429-nucleotide ribosomal RNA is filed under the name Bacillota bacterium. RNAcentral's name for it is "Firmicutes bacterium partial 16S ribosomal RNA". It matches the Rfam family "Bacterial small subunit ribosomal RNA", at positions 355 to 776 of the family's 1533-position model. Lineage: Bacteria; Bacillati; Bacillota. The record is from RNAcentral.